GACUGAUAAAAAAUCCUCUAAAAUGAUUCAUCUCAAAAACAAUAGCUCUAGAAGAAUCAUCUGUGGGAUAAUUUAUUAAACUUGUUUCUCCUUUAGCAUCCUAAGGGUAUAUCUCUAUUACCAACUAUCUGGUUUAGGGAUAGAUCUCUCACCCUUCCAGAUGCAAGAUCUGGUUCAGGUCUUAGGAAAAUGUGUACACAUGCCAGCCCCCUUUUCAAUAAAAAAAAAAACUAAA
RNAcentral lists this long non-coding RNA (235 nucleotides) under Mytilus galloprovincialis (Mediterranean mussel). Lineage: Eukaryota; Metazoa; Mollusca; Bivalvia; Mytilida; Mytilidae. The record is from RNAcentral.